AUGAAGGCCUUCGGGUCGUAAAGUUCUGUUGUGAGGGAAGAACAAGGAUCGUGCNAACAGANCGGUCCCUUGACGGUACCUCACGAGGAAGCCCCGGCUAACUACGUGCCAGCAGCCGCGGUAAUACGUAGGGGGCAAGCGUUGUCCGGAAUUAUUGGGCGUAAAGGGCACGCAGGCGGUUCCUUAAGUCUGAUGUGAAAGCCCGUGGCUCAACCNCGGAGGGCCAUUGGAAACUGGGGAACUUGAGAACUGAAGAGGAGAGUGGAAUUCCACGUGUAGCGGUGAAAUGCGUAGAUAUGUGGAGGAACACCAGUGGCGAAGGCGACUCUCUGGUCNGUUUCUGACGCUGAGGUGCGAAAGCGUGGGUAGCAAACAGGAUUAGAUACCCUGGUAGUCCACGCCGUAAACGAUGAGUGCUAGGUGUUAGGGGGCUUCCACCCCUUAGUGCUGAAGUUAACGCAUUAAGCACUCCGCCUGGGGAGUACGGCCGCAAGGCUGAAACUCAAAGG
RNAcentral lists this ribosomal RNA (509 nucleotides) under uncultured Salimicrobium sp. RNAcentral's name for it is "bacterial SSU rRNA". It matches the Rfam family "Bacterial small subunit ribosomal RNA", at positions 408 to 907 of the family's 1533-position model. Lineage: Bacteria; Bacillati; Bacillota; Bacilli; Caryophanales; Bacillaceae. The record is from RNAcentral.